Molecule: ribosomal RNA, 460 nt
Filed under: uncultured bacterium
Lineage: Bacteria
Description: partial 16S ribosomal RNA
Rfam family: Bacterial small subunit ribosomal RNA
Source: RNAcentral
CCUACGGGCGGCAGCAGUGAGGAAUAUUGGUCAAUGGGCGGAAGCCUGAACCAGCCAAGUAGCUUGCAUUCUUCCUUCCCUCCUUUUUUUCCCCUGCUUUUAUACGGGAAUAACGCGCCUUACGUGUAGGGCUUUGCAUGUACCGUAUGAAUAAGGACCGGCUAAUUCCGUGCCAGCAGCCGCGGUAAUACGGAAGGUCCGGGCGUUAUCCGGAUUUAUUGGGUUUAAAGGGAGCGUAGGCCGCAUGUCAAGCGUGCUGUGAAAUGUCCGGGCUCAACCCGGGCCUUGCAGCGCGAACUGGCGUGCUUGAGUCCGCGGAAAGCAGGCGGAAUUCGUCGUGUAGCGGUGAAAUGCUUAGAUAUGACGAAGAACCCCGAUUGCGAAGGCAGCUUGCUGCAGCGGAACUGACGCUGAUGCUCGAAAGCGCGGGUAUCGAACAGGAUUAGAUACCCUUGUAGUC